Long non-coding RNA from Ricinus communis (castor bean), 2194 nucleotides. RefSeq lists it as uncharacterized. The record is from RefSeq and is a predicted model, not a curated record. Lineage: Eukaryota; Viridiplantae; Streptophyta; Magnoliopsida; Malpighiales; Euphorbiaceae. The transcript is spliced from 2 exons.
ACUUAAGAAAUGUGUAUAUCCUAAUAUUUUUACUAUCUCCUCAAUAUCAUCCAUAGUGAAACUAGAAAUGCCACUAAGAUUUACAGAACACCCACCAACAUAGUUGACUAUAGAAUUACUAAUUAAUGCACCACCAUGAUGAAAUUCAAUAGGAAUACUGCAGAAAUAUACACACAACAAUUAUAUUAGCAAUGCAGCAAUACAAAUGCCACUUUCUAGUAAUAACAAAUGCAAAUGCAUGUAGUAAUAAAUAACGCAAAUGCAAAUGCAAGUGCUCAAAGGUUGUAGUAAUAACAAAUGCAUUUUUCGUACAAUGUUAUACCCACGACAAUAAGAUUCCCCACCAUUUGCAUUGCUUUACCCAUUCAAUGUAUUAACAAAUACAUACCUUCGUUGUCUUUUUUCUGGAAGGAGCCAUCUUGCGGGGGACCACAGGCACGAGCUUCAACAAUAUUGGACCACAUAAAAAGGGACAAAGAUAAUAGAGCGAAUUCGGCGAAAUGAGAGAACUUAGGCUAUAUGUGUGGACGAAACGAGAUUGAAAUUAGAAGCUCUAGAAUACUGAAUUUGGGAUUUCGCCGGGAAAUAAAUUGAGGGAAAAGAAUUGGAAAAAUGUUAGGACGAAACGGUGAGUUUUGAGGUCCUUCAUUAUGCUCAGCCACGUAGACAAAUAUGUGGAGCCACGUGUAGACGUCAUGUUAUUACUAGCACACGCCAAAAUAUAGGUGGGUAGGAAUGAUACAAGACGCAAACAUGGUGGACCAAAUUGAUACGUUUUAAAGGUGAGGAUAGAUUCACGAAAAUGGUUAAAAAUUGGGGUAUCUGGGAUCAUUUUCCCUAACAUUAUAUGAAAUUUGACUAAUCUUGAUUAAAUUCUUGAACAAAAAUCUCAGCAACUCCAACACGGAUAAAAAUAAUUCAACUUUCUUUUCUUCACAUAUUUCUUUGUAAUAUGCAUGUUAGUUAAGUCAUGCACUGACUCAUCAUCAGAUAACAAUAAUAUCUCUAACGUCCAAAAACUGCUCAAAUUUUAUUGAGGAGAAAGAUAAAGAAAAUCCACCCUAGUCUUGAUACUUCAUUUUGUGCCACUUCAUUUCCUGGUACACAUAAUCCAAGCCUGUUCGUGAACUGUACCAUGAAAAGCACAUUAUGCAAUUAGUUCAAUGAUACAUUAUGGGAACUGAUGACUGUAUUAGAUGGAAACAUAUUGGUACCGUACGUGCUUGGAAUCAACUUUUAAGAGCUGAAUGCUAAAGUUGAGUGGAGUAAGAUCUUAUGGAAGAAGGUAACAUCCUUAGGCAUAAUUUUGUCCCUCUAAUUGGCUCUCAGGAAGAAGUUGCAAACUAAAGAGAAAUUGAGAAGAUGGGCGGGGCGGCGGCGGCUUGUGACAGAUUUGUGCUUCGUAAUUCCGAACCUGAAACUGCCACUCACUUAUUCUUUUGACUACCUUCAAUCAGCAGCAAUUCGGAACAAAAGGUUGACAGGCAAGAGAAGCUAGUUGUUUAAAGUGAUCUAUUUAUUGUGCCAUUUAUUUGAGUCGUUUGUGUGCGUCUUUUGUGGUGGCUAUGAGUUUGCGUUGGUUGAGUCCAGUAUUUCCUACUCUCCUACCAGUGUUGACUCUACUGAUUACCAUUUUCUAAUAGUUGCACUUGCUGAAAGGAGGGAGAGAUGAGAGCUAUCUGCGGUGAGAUGUUUGGAAAAUCAAAGGUUCAAAAGGUGUACAAUUGGUACAAAUGGCUUAGCAAUUCAUCCUUCCAUCUUGCUAUUAGCUGCUAUAGCGAUUGGUUCCUCAUGGUUUUUGCAAGAGGUUAAUAAGGAAGACGAUGGUGGAGACUUCUAGAAAGGCAUGAUAGAUCAGGGGUAUUAUGGUAAAUCCUAUGUCUUUGCAGUGGUGGUUGUUUUGGGCAAUAAGCCCAAUGUUUGAUGUUUUAAGAGCGCUUUUGCUUUAGAUCAGGGGUAUUAUGGUAAAUUCUAUGACUUCUAGAAAAGGCUUUUGCUUUACAAUGAUGCUAGCUUUCUUGUCAUGAGUCUUUUCCUACGUACUAACAUAUUUGUCAAACACUACGAGUAAAAAGUGUUUUCUUUGAAUAAUGAGUAAAAAGUAUUUAAAGUAAUAAGAACAUAAUCAAAACUUUUUUAAAAUAUAAUUAAAGAAUAUAUCAUUUUAAAAAAUAUAUAAUAAAAAUUAUAUAUA